Molecule: long non-coding RNA, 6787 nt
Filed under: Lactuca sativa (garden lettuce)
Lineage: Eukaryota; Viridiplantae; Streptophyta; Magnoliopsida; Asterales; Asteraceae
Description: long non-coding RNA (LSAT_LNC003521)
Source: RNAcentral
ACAAGUAACUUCCAGGGGUAUUUGGUGGUAAAAAUAUCAAGCAAAAGGAAGGUGUAGAUGGGUGAAAUGGUGGCUGAAACACAAAAGGGACAGCAACCCUUUAGUUCAUGGUUUUGAUGGCUUUGGAAGGAAGUUCUUGUGCUUGAAAAUGAGAUGAAGGUUGAGAGUAAUUACUUGGAGUAUUGGCUGGUCAAAUGAGGGUAAAAUGAAGAGGAAAUUUCGUGGUUAUGAAGGAGGAAAGGGUGGAAGAGGAUAAGGGGACAAAACCUAGACUAGCUUGUGAUGGGAUGUGAGUUUAAGUGAUGUGAUCUUGUCUAGCCACUUGCUUGGGUGGUUGCUUAGAGAUAGGGUUAGUUAACUAACUAACUACUAGUUAUUUAGUUAGUUAGGAGUUCUAGUUAAGGAGAGGGAAGGUCUUAAUCUCGAAAAUUAGAAGAGGGAUUAAUAAGCAUUCUUAGUAAAAUGUCUUAAGUGAUUAAGCACUUAUUAGUUAAGUUGGCACUUAUCUCCACCAAUUCUCUUAUCUUAAUUGAUUUAGACAUCAUAAAACUUACAUGAAAUCACUUUAAGUCAUGACCCAUAACUAGUCAUUCACUAGAUAAUAAUACAUAUAUACAAAUACAUACAUGUAUACUUAGUAUAAAAUAACAAUGUAGUUUUUGUGUAUUUGAACUUUAAUGUUUAUGUUUUAUUCUUUUUAUUCAAAAACACUUAAAUACAUUCUAAUUAUACCUUAUAAUAAUUCAUUUUAUAUUUUUAUUUAUUUAAAUAUAAAAUUUAUUGACCAAUGUAUAAUUUCGUGACAUUUAACCGGUUAACCAUAUCGUUAAACACGUUUUGUCACUUUGGUUCGUAUAUUUGUCAAAUUUAGAUCCUCCACAACUAUUAAGCACAUGUUUUACAUAGAACCUAACUUAAUUAUCAACUAGAUACAUGUUGAUACAAAAAUUAAGUUUGUUGCGUUCAAAUGAUGUUAUAUGCUAAUUUUCACAAACCGGUGAUGGUUCGUAGUCAUACAUCAUAACGAAAUUUAUCAUUAGUUACUUGUUUUAUAUUUCACAAGAACUUAUUUAAAUAAAAGAGGUUAAAUUCCUUCGACCAUUCUUGAUAAAAUACUCACAUUUCUUAAUAAUCAAAACAUAGCAUCGUACGAUCGUUCCUAUUUUUACCAAUUGUUACAUUCUCCCCCCGUUAAAAGAAUUUCGCCCCAAAAUUCAACUUGUAGACAGGAUAUCACUAAACAAUUGGGGUGUUUCUUUUUUUAUUUUCAUUUGAUUCUCGCCUUCUCUGGUGAAUUCAGGUCCUCGCUUGGCGUUCCAACGGGCCUUCACUAUGGGCAUGCGACUUUGUUUCGUCCUUUUGACCUCCCGAUCCAUGAUUUCCACCGGUUCUUCGAUGAAGUUUAGACUCUCGUUGACUUCAAUUAGGUCAAGUGGAGUAACAAGAGUCUCAUCAGACAAGCUCUUCUUCCGAUCCUGGGAUGCCUUCAAUUGUUCACGGGUUUGAACAAUCUUCUAUGUAGUUUCUUGUAUGAUAUAGGGGAUGGUGGGAGUGCUGUUAGGAACUUGUCCCUUAGCUAGUUGCGUGUCACCUACCUCAACCUAGCACAGAGGCGAUCUACACUUGCUUCUGUAGAGAGCUUCGAAUGACACGACUUUGAUAUUAAUGUAAUAGCUGAUGUUGUAUAAGGAUUCGAUGAAUGGUUCUUCCUCUUUGUCUUUUAGUUUGAGGGUGGUAUAAAGGACUUCUUUAACGACUAUUGAAAACACGAGGCGAAUCGCCUGUCCCUUAUCCAAAAGGAUAGAUAGUGGUAUACUAUGCAAUCUCACAAUCUUCUUGUGAUUUUCUCCUAUCAACUUUUCUAUUUUUCUUUGUAGCCUUGGUCGGUAGAAAGUGUGUGGGUUUGGUUGAUUUGUCUGUGAUCACUCAAGUGGUAGCGUGUCCAUCCGCUGUCAUGGGUAACUUGUCAUGGAGUUCAUGGUAUUACUCAUAACUGAUUCAUCUAGCAUCUCUUUGUGUUUAUAAGUCGUAUAUAAUUAAGAUUGAAAAGACAGUCGAAUCAGUGAUUCUAUUCUAAGCCCACAUCCAAACAAGGAAAAGGAUUUAAAGCGGAAUUACCAACCCUAAGUCCGUAGAAUCUUAACUAUAUAGGGCUCCAAUAUAUACACUUAGUAAUCAUAGAUUCACUAGUAUGGGUCCAUAGUCUCUAUUUGAGUGGGGCGAUUAACUUGGGUGAGAUGGCAUUUACAACAACCCUUUUCUACAGCUACCGUAUUUAAGUUGAUUUUUGAACUCGGGUUGCUGUACGGAUGGUAUUCCCAGGAGAUCUUCUGGGAAUAUAUCGAGAAGGUUACGGGCUUUUGGAACAUCCCUGAUGUCUUUCUCUUCUUGUUUCUUAUCUACAGUGCGGGCUGGGACGGUGUGGUACCUUCUGUGUUGGUACUUCUGAGUCUUGAUGUAAAAGGUGAGUCGGGGGUUUGUGUCCGGUUUGUCUCCAUAGACGACGAUGAUUUUGUUACUCGAUGGGUUUAGGCGAACGGCUUUUCAUAAUAUAUGAUAUCGAUAUGUUUAGGAAACUAACUAAUACAUUGUUAAAAUGAAAAUGUCGUAAAUUUUUAUUGUGACCAGUUUUAGGAUGAUUUGAACGAAUUGGUUGAUUUAGUGUUAGAGUGCACCUUAUGUACACGUCUCUAGUGCUUUUGAUUAUUCCAAUUCUAUUGUAAACAUUUCGUUUAAGUUUUUGAGGUUUUUGGUUGAGAAAUUGAUUAAAUCUACGACUCACAAUACUCCUCUCCGCGUUGCUAUUAUAUAGUAUCCAUGCAUAUGUCCUAUCGGGAAUGAACGUACCGGAAUCUCAGCGGGGUCUAUUAUUUCUUUCCCACGCUCUGUUGCUAAAACACUUCCGACGCUCCUGACAUCUUUGUUUUUAGUCUCCGGGAACUCCUUUAUGAAAUGCCCUACUUCUCCACAUCUGUAGCAAGUCCAACUCAUCCUAGCUUUUGUGUUCUGGGUGGUCUGUUGAGCCGGCACCCUACAAAAAUUUGUGGUAUGCCCCCUUUUCAUUACAGUUCUUGCAGUGCAUUCCCUGCACUUUCCUUUGUGAUGAAAGCUACACUUGGUGCAUUUUGGCAGGUUUCCAACAUAUGGUCUUUUCGGCACUGAGGUAGUAGGGAUGGUGGUGGUAUGGAAUGUCACUGUUUGUUGUCUUUUGGUAGGUCCUUGAUUUGGGGCGUCUUUGCAGGAACAUACUCGGGGUGUCCCUGGUUGUUAUUACGAUUGGAACUUUCAGCGCCGUUCCCGCUUUUAUUUGUGUUGUUAGCGCCGAGGUGUGCCAUGACUACUGUUACCGCAAUUUGAAAUGUUGCAGGUUCUAUUUAUAGAACUAGUGUUGCGCCAGUAUGCUGAUAACCUUCAUAUGUUGGCAUGAUUCUAUUUCGCGAGUGGCCUCCUCUGUUCUCUGUUUUGUGAUGACUGUCCAGGUUGUAGCUGUAAGGGUUCUUUGUCUUAUAACGACUAUCUUCUUUUCUAAGGAGUGUAGGUGAUCCGUAUUGUUCUCUUGAUCUGCUUUCCGGUCUAUGGGUGCUAUGGCCCGAAGUACGGUGUAGUGAGUUUAUGUUGGUUCUGGAUCAUCGAUUGUCCUCUCUAGUCUAUAUGUGUGGCUAGGUAGUUAAUUGCGGGUUGCUUCCUGAAAUGAGAGGUGGAGGUUCUCACACUCCUCUUGAUAGGGUAAGGUUUAUUGAUGGUAUCUCCCAAACUUCUUUCUCCAUCUGGUCCCUUCUCGGAAAUCUUCUUCCUCGUAUUUCAUCUAUUGGUACUCUUCGAAAUCUUCUUCUGUAUCCUUCUCGAUCCAUCUGUUGGCUUCGGUGGCAGGAUAGUAGGGGUCUAUGUGGAGAUGAAGUCUAGCUGAUAUGCCUAUGCGAGAAGAUGGGUAAGAAGCAUAUGAAGAAUCUAAGUGUGUGGUUCGAUUGUAACGCAAAAUACUCCUAUAGUAUUUUAAAUUUGUAUGUUAAAGUUUUCUUUGUAUAGUUUGUUGGUAAGUUUUAGACUCGUCAUCCACUACGACCAUUCCUUGGCAUACGUUGAUCACCUCUUGGAUAAAUAUAGUUGAUCAGACUAUAUUCAUCCCAGACUUGAUUACAUACCCCGAGGCUUACUCGUAGUGUUUAACUUGUCUUAAUACUUUUUGUUUUGUUACCAAUAUGACUCCUUACUAGUAUGUUUGUAUGCACUUACAUUUUUCGUGAAAUCUCGGUCCAUUCCUGGUCCUUCUAUGGUUGCCUUGUGUAUACAGGUCAUAUACAGUCAAGAUCAAAUAGUCAGUCGAAUAAGUGAUCUUACCUGAUAUCCACAUCCAAACAAGGAAAAGGAAGUGAAAAUCACAAAUUCUAAGUCUAUAAAACCUUUAGUAUAUACCACCUUAACGUAUACACUUAGCAAACAUAGACUUACCAGCAAAGGACCCUAAUGUUGNAAACAUAGACUUACCAGCAAAGGACCCCUAAUGUUCUUGUUUUGAAAUUGUUAAGUCAGAGAGUUUUAGUCCCUAUGUAUUUAUAGUUUGUAUAUCUUAUGUGGUUUGAUAUACUUAGCUCACUAAAAACAAUGCUCUGAUACCAAUCUGUCACACCCCCAAACCAGGAUGGGAGAAAAGUCCAGGGGCGGGUGACUAUCAUAUAGUGUAUCAUAACGGUUGAGUAUAAAUGUUCAAAACAAACACAACCAACAUAUAUAUAAUUGAAAAUUUUACAUCAUUUGUACGUAUUACAUGUUUCAAAAUAUCAAUUACAAUAUGUUGUCAAAAGAUUUGUUUAGACACCUAAGCGUCCCAUCCUCAAAGCCAGUUGUUACCUAAUUUACUGAUUUCCUGAGAAUACAAGUUAUUUGAAAAGAGAGUAUCAACAUUUAAGUUGGUGAGUUCAUAAGCAUUUGUAUGUAUAUUUGGAAACCUUUUUCUAUGAAAUUUAGUAAUGUUUGUUUUACGGAAAAUCCUAUAUUUUCCCUAAAAUGAGAUGUGGCCUUAAAUGAACCAAGACCGAAGCGUAUAAGUAAUUUUCCUACUUAAAAUGAUGUUAUGCAGUUUUGUUUGUAUAUAAAAUUGUUUGAAGACUGUCUUUGCAUAAACUAAAAGUGUCAUUGUUGUAUCACGUGAGUUUUCAUUUUUAUCUUAUAACCAUGCAUGAUUGACCCAGACUGCCUUGUUCGCGACGUUCUUCAGGUGUCGAUUUCGUUAUGACAUUUGUCACCCCUAGACCUGCCGGUCUAGCUGUUUCAAGUAGCUAAGGUGUGGGAUUGUCGGUCCCAGUAUAGAUCUAUACACAACUAUCACGCUCUCCCUACAAGAGACUCUGGUUAUAUUUAACACAGGACUUUCGUGUGUACUUUAUAAGGUACCAUCAAGACAAAACUCAUUAAAUUUGUUCAACGAGUUUACGUGUUUUUGUACUGAAAAUGUUUGUAUAAAUGAUCAUCCUCUUAGACCGGGAUAGCUACGAAAAACAACGUGAAAUCUUUAGAUAUGCAUUUGACAAUAUUUUACCCUUUGCUCAACAGGAUACAAAUGGAGUAGAGUUUCAUAAACUAUAUAUGUAUAUUUUUGAUGUAGAAGACAAGUUUGUAAACAAAACAUAUAUAUGCAAAUGGUUAUAUAUAUGUAUAAAUUCUAAAAGAUGAUUUGGUGUGUUUCGUAAUUGUUGUUCAUAUUCUUACGUUUUUAUUAGAAACUUUGCAUGAAAUAAUCCUUAAGUUUGAUAGAAAAGACCUUUUUGUACUUAUAACUUGUGUAAAAAUUGUAAUUAAACAUAUUUAAAUGAUCGUGUUUUAACUUCCUUAAUGUAUAAACAUUGCUCAAAAAUGUUAGAAGGUGUUAAUAUAUCUAUAAACCACUUUUGAUAGUUUUACCCUUUACUGUCCCCGAUUUUAGAAAACUCAUAGAAAAAUCAUCGUAAGUCAAAAAAUGAAUCCGUCACCUCUGAGAAUAUAUAAAAUGAGUCUACUUUGUUCCUAAUUUUUAUUAUGAUUUUUAGUGGUCUCAAACUAGUGUGAAAAUGAACAUCCUCACAGACUGGUCCGAAAUCACUUCUGAAAAGACAGGCAGUUUUAUAAAAAUCGCCAUAAAUUGUAGAAAAAUCGUAUGAAGGCGUGCGAGUAGUCCUUAGAAAGGUAUAAACUUUAACUAUUUUCAUAUUGUACAUUUUUGAAAGAUAUUAAGUUUAAGAUGGUCAAAAUAGUCCGUGAACAGGACUCAACUUUUCUAUAGAAAGCUGUCAUUUAAAUUUAACUUAUGCUUAGUGUUCUAACUUGUAUUCCCCCCCUUUAAAACUUGAAGAAAACAUGAAAAUGUAGGGGUAUAAACUCACCUUAUGUGAAUACUUGAAGAAUGGAAGGUUGAAGAUGAAGAACUUUUGGUUGUUGGUUUGAUGCUCCAAAACAACGACUGUUUUGACUAUGUUGCUGUCACGAAAACUUCAUAGCAAAAGAGUGAAAAAAAAGGGUAGUUUACUCACUGUUUUGAAUCUAUAAUUUUGAGUAGCAUAACAAGUAACUUCCAGGGGUAUUUGGUGGUAAAAAUAUCAUGCAAAAGGAAGGUGUAGAUGGGUGAAAUGGUGGCUGAAACACAAAAGGGACAGCAGCCCUUUAGUUCACGGUUUUGAUGGCUUUGGAAGGAAGUUCUUGUGGUUGAAAAUGAGAUGAAGGUUGAGAGUAAUUCCCUGGAGUAUUGGCUGGUCAAAUGAGGGUAAAAUGAAGAGGAAAUUUCGUGGUUAUGAAGGAGGAAAGGGUGGAAGAGGAU